UUAUAUUUAAUUCAUAAUAUUAAAUUGCAAAUUUAAAGUAGAUAAAAAUAAAAGUCUAAGGCUU
RNAcentral lists this transfer RNA (64 nucleotides) under Maoricicada cassiope. RNAcentral's name for it is "tRNA-Cys". Lineage: Eukaryota; Metazoa; Arthropoda; Insecta; Hemiptera; Cicadidae. The record is from RNAcentral. RNAcentral also lists the same sequence under 7 other names.